This is a non-coding RNA of Maylandia zebra (zebra mbuna), 690 nucleotides long. The record is from RefSeq and is a predicted model, not a curated record. NCBI's taxonomy places the organism in Eukaryota, Metazoa, Chordata, Actinopteri, Cichliformes, Cichlidae.
CUCUUUCCUCCUGUUUUCUCUGUAUUGUCUGUUGGAUCAGUCUUUCUUGUGGUUCUACUGGUGUUACUGGUUCUGCUGGUGAGACAAGAUGUUGAGAGGAAAGUUGAAGAGACUGAUACAGCUGUGGUCUACUCAGCAGUAAGAGCUGAAGACAUCAGGAAUGGACAAACAACCAUCAGAACAAGGCCAUCCAGGUCUUGCUGCCUUUUAACAGAAACAAGACUUUAAACCAGAGCCAGACGUCGUCUACUCUUCACUGAAGUAGUCCACCAGUCCAACCACUGACGUCCAGCUGCUGGUUUCUAACUGGUCCCCCCAGCACCUCAGACCACAGGACAUGUUUGAAGAUUUCUUCAUAUUUUUCAUAUUUUUUAUGUUGUUUUUUUCACUUUCUAGACCAAAAUGACUCAAAUGCAAAAUUUUGUUAUGUUACUAUGUCCCAUGUCCUCGGUAACUGGUUGGAAUUGUUGUAGUUCAUUCAUGAUUGUUGGCUCUUGUUUCCCGUCAGUGAUCUGUUUUCACUGGUUUUCUUCAUGUGCUUCUGUGGGUUUCAAAAAACUGUCACAUGGAAAAUCUGACUAGUGUGAUUGUUGCUAACACACACACACAGCUUUAAUGCAGAAAGCAAAGAAUAAACGUUAAACUACAACCACAGACUGAACACAGCAGAAGCAUCAUUCAGUGGCCGCA